Ictalurus punctatus (channel catfish) is the source of this 1376-nucleotide long non-coding RNA. NCBI's taxonomy places the organism in Eukaryota, Metazoa, Chordata, Actinopteri, Siluriformes, Ictaluridae. The record is from Ensembl.
GGCGUAUACAAAGCAGGAUAAGGUGUUAAGGUUGUAUGCUAUCGAACAUUUUUAAUCUGUUUUUAUAAUGCAUUAUGAACGCAAUAUUGAUCUUUUCAUACAUUCCUCUGUGAUAGCUAGACCAGAGGCACGGACUUUCUCCAGGAGUUCUUUCAUCCGGACCUGCUUUUAUUAGAAAAUAAUCAACUCCAGUGUACUAACAGUAACGCCACCUCGUUAUUGAUUACUUUCCCAGCUCAUCAAGUGUUUUAUUCAUGACAUACCACCCCGAAUUAGAACCUAAAUUUAAAAAUCAUUAAAAAUUUUAGAUCUAAAUAAUGACAAGUGAUCGUGACAAACUCAGUUUUCACACAAGUCAAAUCUUCAAAAAACAGAAAUUUUUUUUUUUUUAACUUUAUACAAAAAAAAAAAAGCUAAUUAUCUGAUUUUUAAUCAACCAUAAAAGCCAGAACGACUUCUGACAGAAAUGCAUGAGAAGGACUAAAAGGAGAUAUAGUACAAUAUAUUCAAAACUCAGAAGACCUACAAAUCAGUCUGGCAUUUUACCCAUUUUCUCCCGUCUAUAAAAAGGCGCAAAGUCUUACACGUCCAAAAAAAUAGAAUAUCAGAUUACGUUUAUGGAAGAAGCUACGAAAGCCGAGCGACUAAAGUACAAAAACAGUCACAGGUCAGGGGUCAGGUCCUUAUUUGAUGCAAAGGGAGACGGUGUAUAAUUACAUACAGCUUACGAACCUUCGUCUAUAAACUUUUACACGAAUGGCUUUGAGAAUGAAAUACUUAAGGAAAAAAAAAAAAAGAAAAGAAAAAAAAAAAAGUCAACACUUGAAAUUCGUUUCAUUUACAACAUCUACAUCAUGCGGUCAUGCUGAUGCAGAGAUUAAAACAAGAAGAAGAAGAAGAAGAAGAAGAAGAAGAAGAAGAAGAAGAAAUGGAUAAUUAGUUCCUGAACUGUGAAUGGAAAAGAGAACUCUUCAUAAAGACAGUUUUGAGUUUAAAAUUAAAAAAAGAAAAAAAAGAAAAAAAAGGAAUUAAAUCUUUAGGUACUGAAAUGUAAGGAGACCAAAUUAUGGGUCACAGUUACGCAUUUCCUUCCGAAUCCCCUGAAAAUUCUCUCUUUUCUUGAUGCCGUUGUAGGAUUAAGCCUUUUCCUCUAUAUAUAAAGUCCUUACUUUAAUACCGAGUCGUCUGUGGGUGAUUUAAUCAGCUCCCUGGAUCUCUGGUUGAAGCGGGUUUGGUUUGGAAAUGAAAUUAAAGAUGCUGUGUGUUUAUUGUUGGAUUUUUUACAGAAGAUAUCAUGCUCAGUGUUCCUGAGGAAUACCAAAAAAUGAGUCAUACUCAGGUUGUGAUAAACGAACGUUUCUCCUCAGACGUUUGGG